RNAcentral lists this ribosomal RNA (503 nucleotides) under Locusta migratoria tibetensis (Tibetan migratory locust). Its description in RNAcentral is "partial 12S ribosomal RNA". The record is from RNAcentral. Lineage: Eukaryota; Metazoa; Arthropoda; Insecta; Orthoptera; Acrididae.
AUACGAUUAAUACAAGUGAAUAUUUUUGGUUGAUGUAGUUAUAAAUUAUUUUGAGUUUUAAUAAUUAAUUAUUAGGUGAAAUUUUAUUUUAUUUAUUUGCUCUUAAUUUUGAACCUAUGAAAUUUAUAAAAUAGACUAGGAUUAGAUACCCUAUUAUUUUAAAUGUAAAUUUUGUUUUACCUGGGUAUUAUUAGUUAAGGUCUUUAAACCCAAAGAAUUUGGCGGUAUUUCAUUCCAUUUAGAGGAACCUAUCUCAUGAUUGAUAGUACACGAUUUACUUUACUUAAUUUAUUUGUUUGUAUAUCUCCGUUAUCAGAAAAUCUUUUUGGAGAAAAAAUUUUCUUGUUUUUUUAUUAAAAUUUAUUUCAGGUCAAGGUGCAGCUUAUAGUUAAGUGUAUGAUGGGUUACAAUAAUUUUUUUUUAUUAUGGAUUUAAUUUUGUAAUAUUUUAAUGAAGGUGGAUUUAAUAGUAAUUUAAAUUAUUUAAUUUAACUGAUAUUGGCU